UUCAUGCCCAGUGUGGGGCUUGAACUCAAGACUCUAAGAUCAAGAGUCACAUGCUUUACCAACUGAGCCAGCGAGGUGUCCCAUGCUUUUGGAUUAUAGUAAAUAAGAUAUAAAAUAAUGGCGUUCCCCAUAAUUAGGAUUUUGCUUGUGUUAGGACCCUAAAAAUCACCGGAGAUCACAUUAAGGAUGAAAAAGGAGACAGAGCUGCAUUUCGAGAACAAAGCAGAGAGCUUUUUUAUUCUGCUAAGGAAGAGGAAAGACAAUUGGAGUCUGGACCUAGGCAUGUUCUGCAAUCUAGAGAUCCUGCCGUGAGUUGGGGGGCCGGGGUUAGUCGUGAGAACACUCAGGACCCAUAUUGUGGAAGGUGAUUUCAGCCGCUCUAUCUGUGUAGGUGGGUAAAGUGUCCUAUGCUAUGCUUUUUAAUAAAAAGUCUCAUCUGUGAGGGGAGAUGUAAAUCCAAAGUGCUAAUUCUUUGUCAUCAAUAUCAAUCCCGUGACACUCUUUUACAAGAUCCGUGUUACUGAUUCAAUUUGGUUGACUUCCUUCAAACCUGCUGCAGUUUCAGUUGAGUGAAGCGUGAUUCACUUCCUGCCCUGGAGGGUGUAAACCAGCUCUCAGGGUUCAGCCUGGAAGGGGCCAAAGCCGUGGAGCGGGGAGGGGACGGCAACUUGCGUAGUGGUGGGAUGCAUGCCUGGGGGCAAGGGCUGCAGUUUCCAGCCUGACUCCAGGAGGAAUUGAAUCCUAGAGGCAUUUGGAGGCAUCCAAGAGGCAUUUGGCUCUAGAAGCAUUCCAACUGCAAAAAAUCAGUGUACUUUGUGUUCUUUAUGCAUCAGUUUCCGGUUCCCAAUCAAGGACUAUGCAGUAUGUGUCCAGGAUCAUCAAGAAAUGAACUUAUGCAUCUGUUCUUAAGUCUCGCACUUGCUUCUGAACAUCCCUGCAGAACUGGGGUCUGCCAGAGGAGACCCUGGUGUUGGUCUUUUGUGCUCAUUGACUUGUGUUAUGUGAACAUUUAUGGAUUCACGUGCAUGCCCAAAUAAAGAUUCUAAGAUAUUUUGUAGCUUUGCAUACUUGACUUGUUUAUGAAUAGUUUAUUGAGGGCAUUUCUUUUCUAGCCAUAGUUUUAUUUUAAAAGUGAAAAUUUAGAGUGAAAGCAUUUGUGUUAAUUAAGAGUGAACACUUGAGUUUCAGGAAAAGGAAAACUUGUCCUUUAAGACUUAAAAAUAAAAUGCAUUGUUAGGGGCUAUGAAUAACUCUAAAGUAGUGUUAACUCAUGUGGAAAUCUUGGCGGAAUAGAAUCUUUGGGUAGAAAGGUAAAUGAACUGAAAACAAAUUAUUUUACAUAUCUAUAUAGGACAAAUGUUUAACAGAAUUUCAGCAGCAUAAUUAGUACAUUGCAAUGAAAUGAGACAUCCUGAAUCUUGUCCUGUGGAAUGUUAUGGCUCUGUAGGAUAUAAGUUUGGGGCUUUUUAUUUAAACAGGACAAUUUGUUUAUGAGUUGUAUGAAGUAACAAUAUAUUUCACUGUUAAAAAUCUAGUGCAAGAAAAAUUGAGACUUUUUUUUUGAAACAAUUGGAAACUUUAAUACUAGAUGAGUGAUUUGAUGAUACUAAGGAAUUAUUAUUAAAUACUUUUUAGAUGUGAUACGGUUUUAUGGUUAUGUUUUUGCAAAAAGGCAGUAAUGUUUUGAGGUAUGUUCUGAAAUACUUACAGAUGUGAUAUGAUGACUGAGAUUUGCUUUGAUAUACUAUGUAAAGAGAAAGUGGGUAUCUUAGUCCACUUGGGUGGCUCUAACGAUUUAACCACAGACUGAGUGGUUUAUAAGCAGACAUUGAUUGCCCAGUUCUGGGGGGCUGGAAGUCUGAGACCAGAGUGCCAGCACGGUCAGGUGAGGGUUCUCUUCUGGAUCACAGAUAUCUUGUUGUAGUACCCUUACAUGGCCGAAAAGUCUAGGAUCUCCCUGGAGCCUCUUUGAUAAGGCACUAAUCACAUUAUCGUAAGCAUCUCUCAAAGGUCCUGCCUGCAAAUACCAUCAGCUGUGGGGGUGAGGGCACAAAUAUUCAGACUGUAAUACUGGAUAUGAGGUGUGUUGAAGCGGGAUAAACCAUGGUUUGAAGCUGGCAAUGGGGAUUCAUUACAUUAUUUUGACUAGGUAGGUAUAUUAGAAAUUUUUGUUGAUGAGUUUAAAAAAGGGAGAAAGAUACCCACAUAUACACAUAAAACUUACACUCUAGAAAUACACUGAUAUUUGGUCAAAGAUAGUCAAAGAAGGCUUCAAGGGAAAGAGGGGCCUAAAAUUAUCAGUGGUUUGAUGACAUUGUAAUUAUAUACAGCUACAUUCAGCUACAUGAUUUUAAAACCAAAUAAUGUUGUAGUUUUAUUUCAAUUAAGAUAAGCCUCUACUUAGGUCAAAGGAAAAGGAACACUUGCAGUUCUGGCAACAGUCCUUAAUUCAACAAAUACUUUUUCAAAGCCCCUCUGGGCCAGGUACUGUAGAGAUUGCUGAAAAGUCAAAGACUGUGGGUAUAGGCUUUGCACUAAUGGGAUAUGGGCCCUAAACUGUUACAGGAACACAGAAGUUGGAAUGAUUUAAUUAUAUUUUGUAGCUCACGGGGGGAGCCAGUAAGGAGUGUAUUAGGCAGGAGAAUGUAGGGAGCUGGCAUGUGAUCUGGGCCUUGAAGGAUGAGUAGGUCUUUAUAGGUGGAGGAGAUGGGGAAGCCCAUGGCAGGCAGAGGAAACAACCUGGUCAACAGCAUGAAGAUGGGAAGAUGGGUUCAGCUAGUAACAACAGGUUCAGUGUGAAAAACCAGGUAAAAUGAGGGAAGGUGCAGUGGAGGAUAGGGCAGCUACAAGAACAUGAAAGAUCCAAAAUGUGAGUACUCACCAACCUGGAGAGCACCAUCCCUGAGACCUGGUAGCCUGAAGUUGAGAUGGCACUUAUGACUUUGAUUUGAGGGGUUCUAGGUCUCCUAGCUGCGUUGUCACUUCACUUGGGCAGAGGGACCGGCAUUUAUGUACAGGUGGGGUUUGCUAAUAAACAGUCAACAAGACUCUCCACUCCUCUGCCAAACAGGUUGCUCCCAUGCUUUUAGGGAAGUUGUGGUUGCUUUCUUACUUUACGUGGAAUGAUCACUGGUGGGUUUGGAUGCCUGUCUUGGAGGUGCACCCUCAGUACUAUUUCCUGGAGUCCCUGAUUCUCUCAGACCAGUGGAGGGCUGUCUGAUUGACCUCACUGAAGAAUUAUUCCCCUACUGUUUGACCGUAGGGUCCACGACAAGAAGCUGGAAUUGCUUCUGAGCAGAGGUGGGUUUUUACAAUGAAAGCCAGUGGAGCUUCCCUCUCUUGCACAGUGAAGUCCCCUCCCUUGCACAGCCCUUUAUAGCGUUUUGCAGCACCCCCCAAAUUUUCAUAUAGUCAUGCUUUAUUUUAUAUUUGUAAUUUUAUUGUUAAAGAAUUAAAUAUUAUGAGCUUCAGGGCCCACAAAACCUGAAACUGGCCUUGCUUCUGAGCAUCUUGAAGAAAGUUCUUCGCUUUAUUUUUUCUUUCUGGAAUGAACAGAUAACAAUAUUUUCUCCCUCCCAGAUCAGUCACAGAUUACUAAGCAAUUCUAUGUAAAGUGGACCCAGAAGCUAUUUUCUGUGAAAGUGACAUGUGAUAAAUAAUUUGGUACCAACACAAGAGGGAUAGGUGGCCUUCCCUGGCUCCUUGUAGGUUCCCUGGGUAGGUAGGCACUACUGGUCUUAUGAGAAUAUUUGUUAAGUUUGACUCUGCCCAGGGCCGACCGGUUGGCAUGCUGUCCCUUGUCUCUACCAUCCUGUGCUAUUGCUUUGGAACUCUGAUAUCUGUGUUCUCACUUUUCUCCCCUCUCUGACCUGAAGCUGCCCCAUGGUUUUCAUAGCUCAGCUGUGUGUGACCAGGGCAAAGCCAGUUCUGAUGUCAGUGGAAAUGAGCACAUGACAAAGGCGUGCUAGGCUACUUUCUCCAGACUGACCAGACGUGUCUCCAUUUGAUAUUGAACAGACUGAUGCUUACUUUUGCAUUGCUUCUUUUCGUUUAUUUGCAUCAUGGUCUUGGAAACCAUCAAUUCAACAUUUGACCUUUAAAAAGAUGGAGUCUGACUUGGAGAAGAGGCUGCUUCCCGAGGUGGGGUAGGGAAAGUACAACGUAGGCCUGGGGCAUUGUGGAGAGCCAGAACGUUGUGGGAGCAGUCAAAGAAUUUUAAGGCCUGAGGAACCUGCCCAAUGGGUUCCCUCUGGCCAAACUUGGAGCGUUCGGAGCUCAAAAUAAAUACGGAAGUGGAUUAUAACCAAUUUAUAACCAAAAUAAGAAUCUAUAAGUCUGUACUGAUAUAGGAAUUGAAUGAAUAAUGAAGUGAGGGUGGGAGAGAAACAAAAGGUCUUAUUUAGUAGUCCCACUAAUAAAUAUAAAAGGAACCGUGGAAUUACAAAAUCAUCACUGUAUGCUGAGAGUGGUGUGUGAUAGUUUUAUGAGGAAGAGGAUAUUGAUAGAGUCUUGAAGUAUCUCCCCACAAAUUACUUAAUUAUAGAGCCAAUGUAGUGACUUCAUAUAAGAGAAAUCCAGUGGAUUUCACUUUACCAAAUAAUCCUAGUUAAUAUUGCCAAUAUAGAGACAAACCAAUAGCAGUGCCUCUUGAUAUGCUGCAGUGAGGACACAGACUUAUUUCUGUGUUAUUCUGAAGAAGAAUUCCUUGAAUAGAUCAUAAUGAAACAUGGAACAAACUGAGCCACAUUCUAUAAGGGAAUGUGCCCACGAUCUUUCAAAAUGUCAAGAAGACAAAGAAUUGCUAAGGAGGGCAAGGCGAGGCCUGGGACCUCAGAAACGGACAAGUUGAAGGGGCAAGACAACUACUUCCCUCUUUAUGUUGAUAGUGGAAGCUUCUGGUCUCCCCAAGAGGAGGUUUCCAAACCAGUGUUCAGGACUCUUCAAGUGAGAUGGAGUAGUAGAGAAGAUGUUUUUAAAUAAAGAUUACAGUAGACAUUCCAGAAAACUCUUACAAGUUGGACCUCCUACCACAGUGGGGGAGUGUAACAGAUAGGAAAUUUGCUGAUAGCAACUUGAGUUUUCCUGCUCUGUUCUAUCAAGAUGCUUAUAUUUAGCUGGCCCUUGUUAUGUAAGUGAUGUUUUUCAAAUUCUACUAUAGUGGGAGGGAACAAAGUAAGAUGACUAAAUGAAAUCCACAAAUGAUCACAUGAAAACAUUUCUUCGAUGUGUUUUAAGGUGGCAGAAUUGAUCUGAAUGUUCUGGUCAUGGGUUGGCCAUUUUGACUAGAGAUGACUCAACAUCCAUGUGUUUGUGUCUCCGUCUCUGGUGUCCUAUAGAAAAUAAUGCAGACUAUUGAAUUUUUGCAUUAGGAGCCUAAACCUCGGUGUCAUCUCAUACCUUCUUUUUCUAGCCACCUCUGAGGACUACAAAGGAGUAGUGAACUGAAGGGUGGUCAAGAGAAACAGAGAAAGUCCUGUCCACCAACCACCAAAUAAUUAAGGGGGCUGUGUUCAAGAGGCUUUUGGCUAAUGAGGCUUUCCAUGUUUGUUGUAUAAUGUAUAUAAUGCCAUGAUUAAUACAUGCUGUAGGGAAUGUUAGUUUCUAUAACUAUAAUGUUUUGACAGCUGGGUUAAAUGUUUUAUGACUGUGGUUUUUAGGAUUUAGCCUAAACAAAACAUUUCAGGUUCAUUCUGACAGGUGCACAAAUAAAAUCUCAGAAUUAAUUUUUUUAAAGAUUUUAUUUAUUUAUUUGAC
Long non-coding RNA from Mustela erminea (ermine), 5754 nucleotides. RefSeq lists it as uncharacterized. The record is from RefSeq and is a predicted model, not a curated record. NCBI's taxonomy places the organism in Eukaryota, Metazoa, Chordata, Mammalia, Carnivora, Mustelidae. The transcript has 3 exons.